This 481-nucleotide ribosomal RNA is filed under the name Neisseria flava. RNAcentral's name for it is "bacterial SSU rRNA". It matches the Rfam family "Bacterial small subunit ribosomal RNA", at positions 30 to 499 of the family's 1533-position model. The record is from RNAcentral. Lineage: Bacteria; Pseudomonadati; Pseudomonadota; Betaproteobacteria; Neisseriales; Neisseriaceae.
AUUGAACGCUGGCGGCAUGCUUUACACAUGCCAGUCGGACGGCAGCACAGAGAAGCUUGCUUCUUGGGUGGCGAGUGGCGAACGGGUGAGUAACAUAUCGGUACGUACCGAGCAGUGGGGGAUAACUAAUCGAAAGAUUAGCUAAUACCGCGUAUUUUCUGAGGAAGUAAGCAGGGGACCAUUUGGCCUUGCGCUGUUUGAGCGGCCGAUAUCUGAUUAGCUAGUUGGUGGGGUAAAGGCCUACCAAGGCGACGAUCAGUAGCGGGUCUGAGAGGAUGAUCCGCCACACUGGGACUGAGACACGGCCCAGACUCAUACGGGAGGCAGCAGUGGGGAAUUUUGGACAAUGGGCGCAAGCGUGAUCCAGCCAUGCCGCGUGUUGAAGAAGGCAUUCGGGUUGUAAAGGACUUUUGUCAGUGAAGAAAAGGGCGGGGUUAAUACCCCUGUCUGAUGACGGUACCUGAAGAAUAAGUCACCGGUC